CGGGACCGCAGGGCAUUCAACAGGCCGGGCAGGGAAUGAAAGGGCUAGAGCAUCCAGUCAAUUUUCAAAAUAAACACCAUGUGGAAACUUCCAAAUCGUAUAUCACAUCGCUUCACUAUUUUAACAACUAAAACACAGCCCCAAAUCUUUGAUCCAUGUAAUUCAUAACUGGACUAAACCAUUUAACU
Long non-coding RNA from Etheostoma spectabile (orangethroat darter), 188 nucleotides. RefSeq lists it as uncharacterized. The transcript is spliced from 3 exons. Lineage: Eukaryota; Metazoa; Chordata; Actinopteri; Perciformes; Percidae. The record is from RefSeq and is a predicted model, not a curated record.